AUUGAACGCUGGCGGCAUGCUUUACACAUGCAAGUCGAACGGUAACGCGGGGGCAACCCUGGCGACGAGUGGCGAACGGGUGAGUAAUACAUCGGAACGUACCCGGUAGUGGGGGAUAGC
Molecule: ribosomal RNA, 120 nt
Filed under: uncultured bacterium
Lineage: Bacteria
Description: partial 16S ribosomal RNA
Rfam family: Bacterial small subunit ribosomal RNA
Source: RNAcentral